Molecule: long non-coding RNA, 877 nt
Organism: Wyeomyia smithii (pitcher-plant mosquito)
Lineage: Eukaryota; Metazoa; Arthropoda; Insecta; Diptera; Culicidae
Exons: 5
Source: RefSeq, a predicted model, not a curated record
UCGAUCAAACGUGGCGGAAUAGAAAACGAUUUCCCUUUCGAACCGAAGAUGAUUACUCCAAGUUGAAAUUCGAUCCACCAUCUGUGGUGAUGAUCGGCCAGCCAACAACAGAUGAUGCGAUAUUUCGUCAAUCUAAUCAGAGAGCAACGAAAGACGAGUGGUCCAUAUUUUUGAGUGAGAUUUUGCGUCGAACAAGCGCAGCGUCCGAAAAAGGAACGAUCGCGUGGCAGACUUGUGCGCGGUAUCUUUCACCUUUAUACCUGUGCUUUGCUGACACGCAGUGGCGAACCUGGCGAACUUAUCCUGUCUGAUAAGCAUUUGUCGGACCUAUUUGUUUUCCGAAACACGGCUGGUGCAGUAUCACUAAUCAUCGAACGAGUGUGGCUUUGUUUCCAGUCGGGUCGCAUUGUACGAGGAAGUUCUUAUUAUAGUGUCAAGUUGAAGAAUGACUUUGGCACUUGAAAUUGAGGUUAGAGACGAUCUUAUGGCUCGGACCCAUCACGGAGUAGCAACCAUUGAUAUCUUAAAUCUUGUGACGCUGGAAAUUCAAAAGCAAUAGUAGGCGGGAAAUUUGGAUCCUAUGGAAACAGGUUGAUAAAAGUAAAUGACAAAAAAAGUUCUGAAUUCUAUAGCGAACUUGAUCUAACUUCCAACUAUUAUAUUGCGUUUUGUACCCAAAAAUAAAAGUUUAUCAUAGACGUAUCAAUUUUCUCACGAUGAGAAAUGUCUAUUAUCUGCGCCUCUGGGAGUCAUAUUGAGAAACAAAUGAUAGCGGUAUACACAAGUUCAAAGGUUUUCGAAAAAAAAAAACACGAAGGAAUUCCAUUCACGUCGAGGACAUGAUUGUACAAUAUUGCGAAUUUUCUUAAAUAAAUUA